AGAACGAACGCUGGCGGCGUGGAUAAGACAUGCAAGUCGAACGCGACUUAUAGCGAUAGCAAUAUCAUUGUAAGUUGAGUGGCGAAAGGGUGCGUAACACGUGGGAAAUUACCAAGAAGUGGGGGAUAGCUCGGCGAAAGCCGAAUUAAUACCGCAUGUGAUCGAAAGAUCAAAGCCGGGGACCGCAAGGCCUGGCGCUUUUUGAGAUGCCCGCGGCCCAUCAGCUAGUUGGCGAGGUAAAAGCUCACCAAGGCUAUGACGGGUAGCUGGUCUGAGAGGACGACCAGCCACACUGGAACUGAGACACGGUCCAGACACCUACGGGUGGCAGCAGUCGAGAAUUUUUCACAAUGGGGG
This 357-nucleotide ribosomal RNA is filed under the name uncultured bacterium. RNAcentral describes it as "SSU rRNA". It matches the Rfam family "Bacterial small subunit ribosomal RNA", at positions 26 to 377 of the family's 1533-position model. The record is from RNAcentral.